UCAUUUUCUCAGUGGAGAACCAAAGUAAUUGAUGCAUUAAUUCUUUACAAUCAGAACAUUAAUUUCAAAUUUCUUUCAAAGUACAAUAACCAAAGAAUAGAAAAUUUUGUUUUACACAAACUACAAAUAGAGUACUAAAACAUGGGAAUUAGUAAGUAAUUUCAUGUUCUUCAGCAUAUUCUUGAGUUGCUGUUCUAAAGCUCCUUGAUGACGAUGAAGGCUCAACUCCUUGAGGUAUAUCAGAGAGAGAGGCCAAAAAUUGGCGAAUGCUUAAAGAACGAGCAGGUUUGAAGCUUAAUGAUCUCAUCUUGUUCCUGGAGAAAAUGUCAGAUGACUUAGAAAGGAUUAGAUAAACCAGUGCUUGAACAAUGACGAACAUGAGCACCUUCAUCAAGGAAUCUGCCAAGGAUAUCUCUACUUCCAUAACGGGAUUCUGAUCAGAGAUUAGUUACAAAAGUAUUUCGUAAAGAAUUGAAAGAUGGAAUUCCUGAAGAAACAAUGCUUAGGGAAGGGAGUAUAUAUAGGGGGGGUGUGAAGAUUGGAAGAGUUGGCACAUGGAAAACUGCCUGUUUGACUUGUAGCCCAAGCCUGGAAGUUAAUACAUUGACCACACGCAAUCGGAUUGUGAAAUUGUCUUAGGUUUUUGUUAGAGGAAAAAGAAGGUUAGCCCGAUCAGCCUCAUGAGCCCGACAAACCUCCUAAUCCUGGAUAAUACUAGUUGCACGACAGGAAUUAUGUAAUUCUUCUAUUUAAUUACUUGCUGUUUCUAUCAUGUAGGUUCUGUUAUAAAAAAAAAAAAAAAUAGAAAAAUCUAGAAAACUUAUCAAUUGAUCAGAUUGAUCAGCUAUAAGAAUCCUGGUUGAUGUUUGACCAUGAUUGGGCAAUGAAUGGAUGAAAUGGUCCUGGUUGAUGUUUGAUACGUAAUAUCUACCAAACAUUUGUUAUUGUAGGUAAGAGUAGUUUAUAUCAGCUUUUAUGUUAAUACCUGACAAAAACAUGGUUUUAAAGUGGCUUGAGGUGCUUGGACGGCUUUUUAAGGAUAAGACGCAUCAGAAGAAACAGAG
RNAcentral lists this long non-coding RNA (1064 nucleotides) under Durio zibethinus. RNAcentral's name for it is "long non-coding RNA (DZIB_LNC002317)". Lineage: Eukaryota; Viridiplantae; Streptophyta; Magnoliopsida; Malvales; Malvaceae. The record is from RNAcentral.